UACGUAGGGAGCAAGCGUUGCCCGGAAUUACUGGGCGUAAAGAGCUCGUAGGCGGGGGCGUGCGUCCGAGAAGAAAUCUCAUGGCUCAACCAUGGGGCUAUCUCGGAUACGGCGCUUCUUGAGGGUGAGAGAGGAAAGCGGAAUUCCAGGUGUAGCGGUGAAAUGCGUAGAUAUCUGGAGGAACACCAGCGGCGAAGGCGGCUUUCUGGCUCAUUCCUGACGCUGAGGAGCGAAAGCGUGGGUAGCGAACGGGAUUAGAUACCCCGGUAGUCCACGCCGUAAACGAUGGAUACUAGGUGUAGGAGGUAUCGACCCCUUCUGUGCCGGAGUUAACACAUUAAGUAUCCCGCCUGGGGAGUACGGUCGCAAGGCUGAA
This 376-nucleotide ribosomal RNA is filed under the name uncultured bacterium. RNAcentral's name for it is "bacterial SSU rRNA". It matches the Rfam family "Bacterial small subunit ribosomal RNA", at positions 524 to 898 of the family's 1533-position model. The record is from RNAcentral.